GAUGAAGGUUUUCGGAUCGUAAAGCUCUGUUGUUAGGGAAGAACAAGUACCGUUCGAAUAGGGCGGUACCUUGACGGUACCUAACCAGAAAGCCACGGCUAACUACGUGCCAGCAGCCGCGGUAAUACGUAGGUGGCAAGCGUUGUCCGGAAUUAUUGGGCGUAAAGGGCUCGCAGGCGGUUUCUUAAGUCUGAUGUGAAAGCCCCCGGCUCAACCGGGGAGGGUCAUUGGAAACUGGGGAACUUGAGUGCAGAAGAGGAGAGUGGAAUUCCACGUGUAGCGGUGAAAUGCGUAGAGAUGUGGAGGAACACCAGUGGCGAAGGCGACUCUCUGGUCUGUAACUGACGCUGAGGAGCGAAAGCGUGGGGAGCGAACAGGAUUAGAUACCCUGGUAGUCCACGCCGUAAACGAUGAGUGCUAAGUGUUAGGGGGUUUCCGCCCCUUAGUGCUGCAGCUAACGCAUUAAGCACUCCGCCUGGGGAGUACGGUCGCAAGACUGAAACUCAAAGGAAUUGACGGGGGCCCGCACAAGCGGUGGAGCAUGUGGUUUAAUUCGAAGCAACGCGAAGAACCUUACCAGGUCUUGACAUCCUCUGACAAUCCUAGAGAUAGGACGUCCCCUUCGGGGGCAGAGUGACAGGUGGUGCAUG
RNAcentral lists this ribosomal RNA (650 nucleotides) under Bacillus subtilis. RNAcentral describes it as "bacterial SSU rRNA". It matches the Rfam family "Bacterial small subunit ribosomal RNA", at positions 407 to 1047 of the family's 1533-position model. Lineage: Bacteria; Bacillati; Bacillota; Bacilli; Caryophanales; Bacillaceae. The record is from RNAcentral.